AUCGCCCCCCUUCUCUCCUCCCCAUUCUCCUCCCCCGUAAUUGCAUCAAUAUGCUGGGCCCAGGACAGAUGUUCAGAGAUGCUGAAUUCGGAUCUGGCAGCACAAGCCUAUGAAUGCACAAGUUUCUGUUGGCCAUCAGUGACCGUGGAAUUGUUGUCCAGUACAAUUUCUAACCACAUGGCUCCACCUGGGUGACCACGACAGGAAUUCAAUGGGAAAUAUGAAAAAUGCAAGGUGCAACCCAGGAGGAGCAGACACGAGUCUGUUCAUUUGGGAACCAAGGUUGGAUUGGUCUUCAUCUGGCAUCUCAUCCACAGCAAUUCCAUUAUGAGUGGCCUUGAGCUGCCAUUGCCUGAUGAAGUCUUCAAAGCACGUGCGAGUAAUUCCAUCUCAAAUUGGUUCCAAAGCAAGCAGCACGUUCUAAGAAGCAACAAUAACCAAAAGUAAAGAGGAAUCUGGACAUUUCCUUGUCUUCGCUAUCGGGAAAUAAAUAAAACGUUCACACAGUACCUU
Molecule: long non-coding RNA, 513 nt
Organism: Hypanus sabinus (Atlantic stingray)
Lineage: Eukaryota; Metazoa; Chordata; Chondrichthyes; Myliobatiformes; Dasyatidae
Exons: 3
Source: RefSeq, a predicted model, not a curated record